This 43-nucleotide transfer RNA is filed under the name Kaloula indochinensis. RNAcentral's name for it is "partial tRNA-Gly". Lineage: Eukaryota; Metazoa; Chordata; Amphibia; Anura; Microhylidae. The record is from RNAcentral.
GCUUCCAACCACCUAGUCCUGGUUUAACCCCGGGAGAAAAUUA